GCUCACUUGUGUGCCCUUGGACAGCUAGCUUUUCUUCUUGGAGACUCAGUUUCUCUAUGAGGAGGAUGGAGUGUCCAGGUCUUGUCUUCAAAGGAACGCUUCUGGUGGCCAGUGACCAAUUACCUUGAAGAACAAUACCAUCUAUCACAGAAAACCUUUUGGAAAACGGAAGUUCCCAUUCCCAUGGCCCCAUGAGGCUGCAACUCCCUUAGCAGGUCUGUUGAGACUGCAGAGCUUGGGAGGACAGAGCUAGCAUUCAGUGGGCACCUCUCCUGCCACCCGCUCCAUGUCUUGUGUGGUGAACUAUUUAACAGAAAAGCAAACUGAGGCCAAGAAGCUAAGAGCUGUGCUGGGAACCCUGGGAGAUAAUGCAGAUUUUCAGGCUUCUGUUACUGCUGCUUGUCUUCUGUGCCUCCUGCCUGCUCAACCAAGCCACCCUGCCUUACAG
Molecule: long non-coding RNA, 448 nt
Organism: Fukomys damarensis (Damara mole-rat)
Lineage: Eukaryota; Metazoa; Chordata; Mammalia; Rodentia; Bathyergidae
Exons: 4
Source: RefSeq, a predicted model, not a curated record